CUGAUGACACAGCUAAACAAAGCUGCAGUAACACUCUCAGUGGGUUUUCACACAGUGCCACACUUAAAUCGCAGUUGUGUACAGGCUUAGGAUUGGUGCAACCCCUUUAAAGCGUCUCUGUUGCCUCUUGCGCUCUAUUACAUGGCGUCUCUCCCACAAAUGUAACUUUUUCAGGAAUGUGGAAAUCCCACCUAAUUCUUCUUCUAUUUUUUUUUUUUACAGUGAAUCUUGGCAGCAGCAUCACAUUCCAGCAACAGCCACAGAUCAGCCUCGACUGACAAAGUUGGACCGCUCGCUAAAGUGGAAACUGCACCUUAACCAGCCUGUGUUUUGGUUCCUGAGUAAAAUAUGUGAGGUCAGAAUGCCAGGAUAUUAGCUGGCAGGCAAGACUGCACCCCACUAAAGGGAUGCAUGCGGACUGUUGGGCAGAUAUUCAUUCCACUGCACAAUUUAAUUACUUAGUAAGUUUGCAAGUAUUGUUGGAGGUAAUGGCUGGAGUAAUAUCUUUUAAUGGGAGGGUCUGUGGUCUGUGGCAUACUGAGGGGAGACUGUGAUAACAGCCCCUGCUGUGUUGCGGGUGGGUUUCAGCUCUAACUUGCCCUUCACACAGGAAAAGUUGAUGCGCAACAGGAAAACUGUGUUUAUAUAUAAACAGAUUUCAAGGCUGUAUAGGAUGUAAAAGCUAAACCCAAAGUGGUCUUCCAACUCACACCUUUAAGGCUAGUCUAGUCUUGUCAGGCAACCAGUGGCAAUUGCAGGAAAUUUCGACUCCUCUUUAAGAAACAUGCGGGGAUUUUGUUAUCUUCUGACAAAGCCGGGCGAAAUGUCUGGCUGCUUUGAUAUAUAUUUAAAAAAACAUCUACAAGAGAUGCAAUGACACUCUCACCCAUCUUGCGGCAUGAAAACAAAGAAUAUAUUUCCCAACUAGCCAAACAGCUUUACAGGGUACUUAAAAGUUGAUGGCAAACCUUUAAAAGGAGACUCUUGCAUGGCUCUGUGUCUGAAGGUUGUUUUGGUUAAGCACGUGCCCUCACGCGUAAUGGAAAAUUUACAAUUGAUUAACUCGGCGCUGGCUAAAUUACACAUGACUACUUGAAGGAGAAAAUUGUCUGCCAUGUUUUGAGAUCAAUGAUUGUCAGUUCUGGAGUGGGUAAACCAAGGAGAAUGAGGAGGUGACCCAAAUAGCCCAGAU
Astatotilapia calliptera (eastern happy) is the source of this 1192-nucleotide long non-coding RNA. The record is from Ensembl. NCBI's taxonomy places the organism in Eukaryota, Metazoa, Chordata, Actinopteri, Cichliformes, Cichlidae.